Molecule: ribosomal RNA, 253 nt
Filed under: uncultured bacterium
Lineage: Bacteria
Description: partial 16S ribosomal RNA
Rfam family: Bacterial small subunit ribosomal RNA
Source: RNAcentral
UACGAAGGGGGCUAGCGUUGCUCGGAAUCACUGGGCGUAAAGCGCACGUAGGCGGCUUUUUAAGUCAGGGGGGAAAUCCUGGAGCUCAACUCCAGAACUGCCUUUGAUACUGAGAAGCUUGAGUCCGGGAGAGGUGAGUGGAACUGCGAGUGUAGAGGUGAAAUUCGUAGAUAUUCGCAAGAACACCAGUGGCGAAGGCGGCUCACUGGCCCGGUACUGACGCUGAGGUGCGAAAGCGUGGGGAGCAAACAGG